GUGCUCGCUUUGGCAGCACAUAUACUAAAAUUGGAAUGCUACAGAGAAGAUUAGUAUAGCCCCUGUGCAAGAAUGGCAGGCAAAUUCAUGAAAUGUCCCAUAUUUUU
RNAcentral lists this small nuclear RNA (107 nucleotides) under Sciurus vulgaris (Eurasian red squirrel). The record is from RNAcentral. Lineage: Eukaryota; Metazoa; Chordata; Mammalia; Rodentia; Sciuridae.